Long non-coding RNA from Myotis brandtii (Brandt's bat), 510 nucleotides. RefSeq lists it as uncharacterized. The transcript is spliced from 2 exons. The record is from RefSeq and is a predicted model, not a curated record. NCBI's taxonomy places the organism in Eukaryota, Metazoa, Chordata, Mammalia, Chiroptera, Vespertilionidae.
CACCCCUGCGUUAAAGGCAAAGCUUGAAAACCAGAUCUAUUCUAGUUACUGACACAAAUAAAAUCCUGCACUUCUUCAGGUGGGGUCACUGACUAGAUGCAGGUAAUAGAACUUGCGUGAAGCUCAACUCGUUGUGAUCUGUGGUUCGGGUGAUGUGACGGUUUCAGUUGUUAGGGCUUCUGAGCCUUUUCAGUUGAUUAGGUUUCUGGGUCUGAUGUUAUCGACUAAAGGAAACCCAGGUAUGUUUGUUUAAUAUUAAACUUAAUAUUUAAUGUAACUUGCCCAGCAACAUUAAAGGGGAUUUCUUAAGCCAACUCUCGAAGCUGUGGGCUACACAUUUUGCACUGUUUUUAUCCUUGUCUUCAUCCUAUCACCUUGGACUCAGACACAAGGCCUUUCAAAUGGAGAUUUGAAAAAAUUACUGCCAUUUAUGUAAAAUAAUGUACUGUGACCAAGUUAUUAUUUUUUGUGACCAAGUUAUUUAAAUGGGAAAUAAAGUGCUUUAUUUAA